Oreochromis aureus is the source of this 1287-nucleotide long non-coding RNA. The record is from Ensembl. NCBI's taxonomy places the organism in Eukaryota, Metazoa, Chordata, Actinopteri, Cichliformes, Cichlidae.
UAGGGAUAAAAUAAACACUUUAUUGAUAGAAAUUGUUUCAAAUCGAAAUUACAGAGUCUGUUAAAAUGCGUUUGUGUUUAUAGUACAUAUUUCGAAUAUGUUCCAACUCUGGUUAGGACUUCCUGAACCCAUUUCUGAGGGGUUUGCGUCUUAAAGAUGAUCUCAUUCAAAUCUUGAGCCGGAAUAUUUUUCAAUAUUCUCAGGUUAAGCAUAAAAUGUUGCAGGAUUUGUGAAUAAAGGGAUCAAAUAAUUUAAAUAAGUGUUUCUAAGGAACACGUUCCUUAAAGCUCAAAAAAAAAAAUGGCUGGAGUAAUGCAAUGCAUGGACAAAGGCAUGCUUUUAUUGCACUGGUAUUACAAUGAUUUAAAAGAAUAUAUUUAUUUAUAUUUAAAAAAGCAUUUGAAAGCUUUUUUCCAUAGGAAAGCACAAUACUGGCACAAUUAUUUUCACAUUGUUUACAGUCGUUGUUUUGGCCUUGCUGAAAAUAAUUAAUAACAAUAACACAGAGAGUACAAAAAAAUGGCAUUUGUUUUUUCCCAGCAGGUGGAGUUUACUAUCAGCCCAGACAGGGAAUUAAAUUAGAUGCCAGCCUUGUUUAUGUGCUUCGGAGUGGGUGGUGGUCUUCUUUGUAAUCAUCGGGUUUUACCUCAUCGCUGAUAUGCCUGCUGGCGAACAGCCUCCUCAGAGCAUGCCAGAACCAGUCUCACCGAGGUUGCUCUUGUCCGCCAUGUAUGGACCUUCAGCUGCAGAGCCUUCGUAACCACCAGAACCUUCCUCGCCCAGGAAUAUCCCAGGUGACUCGCUCAGUUUCGAUUCCUCCUCCUCUACCUCCUCCUCGUCUUCCUGCUCGUCCUCAUCGUUCUCCUCCAUUGGUGAAUUCUCAUCCUCCACAGGCUCUGCUUCCCUGAAAACACAUAAGAAGUGAGAUAGAGAGAUUAGCUGAUAAGUGUCUCAUCUUUCUCUUUCUGCUGCUCCUUUUACGGGUCGCCGCAACAGAUCAUCUGCCUCCACACGUCUAAACCAUCUCAGCCUUCCUGCAUUUACUUUGUCUCCCAACUGUUCUCCCUGAGCUUUCCCUCUGAUGUACUCCUUUCUAAUCCUGCCCAAUGAAAACCUUCACCUCUUGAGCUCCUCCUCCUGUUUUUUUUGUUAGUGCCAGCAUCUCCAAAACAUAUAUAAUAGUAGGUCUCUCUACUUUUUGGUAAGCCUUCUCUUUUGCUCUUGCGGCUGUCUUUCCAUCUCCAAAAUUUGCUCUGAUAUGAGACUUUAAUAUUUGUUUAAUAUUUG